AAACCGGUUGAUCCUGCCGGACCCGACCGCUAUCGGGGUAGGGCUAAGCCAUGCGAGUCGCGCGCCCGGGGGCGCCCGGGAGCGGCGCACGGCUCAGUAACACGUGCCCAACCUACCCUCGGGAGGGGGACACCCCCGGGAAACUGGGGCCAAUCCCCCAUAGGGGAAGGGCGCUGGAAGGCCCCUUCCCCGAAAGGGACUGCGGCCGAUCCGCCGCAGUCCGCCCGAGGAUGGGGGCACGGCCCAUCAGGUAGUUGGCGGGUUAAAGGCCCGCCAAGCCGAAGACGGGUAGGGGCGGUGAGAGCCGCGAGCCCCGAGAUCGGCACUGAGACAAGGGCCGAGGCCCUACGGGGUGCAGCAGGCGCGAAUACUCCGCAAUGCGGGCAACCGCGACGGGGCUACCCCGAGUGCCGGGCGAAGAGCCCGGCUUUUGCCCGGUCUAAAAAGCCGGGCGAAUAAGCGGGGGGCAAGUCUGGUGUCAGCCGCCGCGGUAAUACCAGCUCCGCGAGUGGUCGGGGUGUUUACUGGGCUUAAAGCGCCCGUAGCCGGCCCGGCAAGUCGCUCCUGAAAUCCCCGGGCUCAACCCGGGGGCGGGGGGCGAUACUGCCGGGCUAGGGGGCGGGAGAGGCCGCCGGUACUCCGGGGGUAGGGGCGAAAUCCGUUAAUCCCCGGAGGACCACCAGUGGCGAAAGCGGGCGGCCAGAACGCGCCCGACGGUGAGGGGCGAAAGCCGGGGGAGCAAAGGGGAUUAGAUACCCCUGUAGUCCCGGCCGUAAACGAUGCGGGCUAGCUGUCGGCCGGGCUUAGGGCCCGGCCGGUGGCGAAGGGAAACCGUUAAGCCCGCCGCCUGGGGAGUACGGCCGCAAGGCUGAAACUUAAAGGAAUUGGCGGGGGGGCACCACAAGGGGUGAAGCUUGCGGCUUAAUUGGAGUCAACGCCGGAAACCUCACCCGGGGCGACAGCAGGAUGAAGGCCAGGCUAACGACCUUGCCGGACGAGCUGAGAGGAGGUGCAUGGCCGUCGUCAGCUCGUGCCGUGAGGUGUCCGGUUAAGUCCGGCAACGAGCGAGACCCCCACCCCUAGUUGCUACCCCGUCCUACGGGACGGGGGGCACACUAGGGGGACUGCCGGCGUAAGCCGGAGGAAGGAGGGGGCCACGGCAGGUCAGUAUGCCCCGAAACCCCGGGGCUGCACGCGAGCUGCAAUGGCGGGGACAGCGGGAUCCGACCCCGAAAGGGGGAGGCAAUCCCGUAAACCCCGCCCCAGUAGGGAUCGAGGGCUGCAACUCGCCCUCGUGAACGUGGAAUCCCUAGUAACCGCGUGUCACCAACGCGCGGUGAAUACGUCCCUGCCCCUUGCACACACCGCCCGUCGCACCACCCGAGGGGGCUCUCUGCGAGGCCCCCUGCCCACAGGGUGGGGGGACGAGCAGGGGGCCCCCAAGGGGGGUGAAGUCGUAACAAGGUAGCCGUAGGGGAACCUGCGGCUGGAUCACCUCCACCU
Molecule: ribosomal RNA, 1503 nt
Filed under: Pyrobaculum igneiluti
Lineage: Archaea; Thermoproteati; Thermoproteota; Thermoprotei; Thermoproteales; Thermoproteaceae
Description: partial 16S ribosomal RNA
Rfam family: Archaeal small subunit ribosomal RNA
Source: RNAcentral